Plutella xylostella (diamondback moth) is the source of this 2391-nucleotide non-coding RNA. The record is from RefSeq and is a predicted model, not a curated record. NCBI's taxonomy places the organism in Eukaryota, Metazoa, Arthropoda, Insecta, Lepidoptera, Plutellidae.
AAACUUGUCUGUUGUUUGUUUUGUUGUUUUUCUACUGAAAAUUUUGUAUUUUCACGUACUUUUCAUGCAAAAAUGCUACAAUAAUCUGAACAGGUCCACCAGUGUUGGUACUCAAGGAAUUAUAAGCAGCAAUCAUGGCACCAACUGUUGACAAUGCGACUUUGAUUAUCCUAGACAUCGGUCAGCACACAUCCGCAUCGGCAGAGAAAAAUGAAAAACCGUUCUUUGAAAAUGCCAGGCAAUGCGCCAUUCGAAUCAUCGAGAAGAAUAUCAUGAUACAGACUAGGAACCUUGUGGGAGUAAUUAUUCUGGGUGCCAACAAAACCAAGAAUGCAUUAGCUGAGCAGUGCCCCGGUGCUUUCAAGCGUAUUGAAAUGACUGCAGAGUUGCAGCCGCCCACUUGGCAAAUGAUACGGGAUCUUCCACAAGCUGCAACUUCUCGUAAAGGAGACUGGUUUGAAGCACUGGUUGUGGCCGCUCACCACUACAAGGAUGGUGUCAGCGGAGUCAAGAUCAACAGCAAGAAGAUUGUGCUACUAACCAAUUUUGAGGCUCCAGCUAAUGUAGGAAAAAACUUUCAAGAGGUUGUUGAAGGUUUUAAAGAGGAUGAGUUGGAAGUGUUUGUCAUCGGAGUAGACAUUGAGGAGCAGCACAACAAGGACUUACAGCUGAUCAGGCAACUUGUGGAGGCAGCCAAUGGUGACACAGCCACCUUCAGUGAGGCCUUCAGUGGCUGGAUGUUCCACAAGACCAGGGGCAACAAAAUGACUCCACAAAACUUUGAUCUGUGCUUUGGUCCAAACAUAAAAAUACCCAUCUCAGCCUACAUCAGAAUAAGAGAUGAGGCUGUGGUGAAAAAUUGGCAAAAAGCUAUAAAAGAUCCAGUCACAGCCACAGCCAGCUCCAAUGAAGGUAUCCAAAAAGAACGAAAAACUAUCAAUACAGAAAACCAAAAAGUUAUCAAACCAGAAGAUAUUAUAAAAGGCUAUCUGUAUGGACAAAAAGUGAUACCUUUCUCUGAUACUGACAAGGAAAAUCUGUAUCAAUCUGGUGAUAGAUCAUUUUCCAUUUACGGGUUUACCUCUGCUAACAACAUACAAUGGCAGAAUCUACAAGGUGAUGGGACUUAUUAUGUUUUCGGGCGCAAAAACGACAAGAAGGCCCAGUAUGCCAUCACUUGUUUAGUUGAAUGUCUGCAUGAGAAGAAUUUAGUUGGGCUGGCGAGGAAGGUGCACCGUAGAAAUACUGAACCUAAGAUGUUCUUGCUUGCACCAGUUUUUGAUCCUAAUGGUUCUGUUUGCUUAUCAAUGAUAAGAGUCUGCUACAAAGAAGAAAUAGAAAAUAUGACCUUCCCACCAACAGAACUGAAGAAAUUUGCUUGCUCUGAUGCACAGGUGAAUGCUUUUAAAGAGCUUAUUAAAUCUAUGGAUUUGACCAAAGCUUAUGAUGAAUCAUAUGGAGAUACAGAAGCUUUCCCAGUGGCUGAAACAGUCAGUCCUGCCAUCCAGUACAUUCUGGAUUGUAUCUCGUACCGUGCCUUGAACCCUGGGAAGCCCCUACCUCAGCCAAGAGAUGAAAUCAUGAGUUUGUUCAAAGUGCCGCCAUUAAUUGAAAAGCAAUCAAGUGACCCAAUAGAAAAACUAAAGAAGCUGUUCCCACUGCACAAAAUUGAGAAGAAAGUAAAAAGGAGGGGAGGAGCAGUCCCCAGUACUGGUGUUUCUCCAACCAUUAAUAAUGCCACUGAUAAUAAAAUGGAUGUGGAUAAUGUUCCCAAAGUUCACUUGCCAAUAAUGAAGAAUGAUGAAGUAACCUGUGUGGGCACUGAUGACCCUGUUAAUGAUUUUGAAAAAUUACUUGGUGAAGGGAAGUCAUUGGUUGAGUUGGCACCUGAAAUAACUGAAGUUAUUGAAGGCCUUGUCUAUACAAAUUUUGGUGGUGAUUUCUCAAAGCCUUUGCAGGCAUUGAAGAGGUUUAGGACUGAAUGUGUGAAGAGUGAACCAUCACACUAUAAUAAUUGGCUGCUUAAAUUCAAGAAAGACCUACUAGAUCGAAAGAAAGAUGCAUUUUUAGAACUGCUAUCAGAGGAAGGUAAAUUUAUUUCUAAAGAUGAGAACAGUAUGAGUACAUUCACCCAGAAUGAUGAGCAUGAAGACAGCCAGAUGUAUGACAAUGACACUAUUUCUAACUCCACAGAAUUGGCCAUUGAUACUGAGGUGAAUGAUCUAUUUGAUGAAAUGUAAUUUAUGUAAUGUUGAACAUUAUAAAAUCAUGUAGAUCUAUGUUUGUCUGUGAUUAGUAAGCAUAUUUGUUAAUCAGUAACUAAAAGUUAUUUUGUUAUGAUAGAUUGUAAGCUUUUUUGUAAUAAAUCUACCUAUCUAAAUCAAAUUACUG